Molecule: Y RNA, 92 nt
Filed under: Propithecus coquereli (Coquerel's sifaka)
Lineage: Eukaryota; Metazoa; Chordata; Mammalia; Primates; Indriidae
Description: Y RNA (ENSPCOG00000006670.1)
Rfam family: Y RNA
About the family: Y RNAs are components of the Ro ribonucleoprotein particle (Ro RNP), in association with Ro60 and La proteins.
Source: Rfam by way of RNAcentral
GGCUGGUCCGAUGGUAGUGGGUUAUCAGAACUUACUAAGUGUCACUAAAGAUGGUAUACAACCCCCCUACUGCUAAAUUUGACUGGCUUAAA